AAGCCUAUGAUGAGGACACUGUCGAAGUAAUUCUUUGUAUCUUUCCCAAGCCUCAUACAACGAUUCAAAAUCUUGCUGCAUGAAUGAGUGAUGUCAUUUUGCAU
RNAcentral lists this small nucleolar RNA (104 nucleotides) under Theobroma cacao (cacao). RNAcentral's name for it is "Plant small nucleolar RNA R71". It matches the Rfam family "Plant small nucleolar RNA R71". Rfam says of the family: R71 is a member of the C/D box family of snoRNAs containing the C (UGAUGA) and D (CUGA) box motifs. Multiple nearly identical copies of this snoRNA have been identified in Arabidopsis, and it is thought to function as a 2'-O-ribose methylation guide for 18S ribosomal RNA. The record is from Rfam by way of RNAcentral. Lineage: Eukaryota; Viridiplantae; Streptophyta; Magnoliopsida; Malvales; Malvaceae.